This 468-nucleotide ribosomal RNA is filed under the name uncultured bacterium. RNAcentral describes it as "partial 16S ribosomal RNA". It matches the Rfam family "Bacterial small subunit ribosomal RNA", at positions 28 to 507 of the family's 1533-position model. The record is from RNAcentral.
GACGAACGCUGGCGGCGUGCUUAACACAUGCAAGUCGAACGGAAAGGCCCUGCUUGUGUGGGGUGCCCGAGUGGCGAACGGGUGUGUAACCCGUGAGUAACCUGCCUUUGACUGUGGGAUAUCUUCAGGCAACUGGGGCUAAUACCGGAUAGGAGCUCCUGCUGCAUGGGGGGGGUUGGAAAGUUUCGGCGGAGGGGGAUGGACUUUCGGCUUAUCAGCUUGUUGGUGGGGUAGUGGCUUACCAAGGGUUUGGUGGCUGGCCGGCCAGGGAGGGUGGCCGGCCACCUUAGGCCUGCGAGACGGACCAGACUCGAACAGGGGGCAGUGGUCGGGAAUAUUGCCCAAUGGGCGGAAGCGUGUUGCAGCGACGCCGGGAGCGGGAUGACGGCCUUCGGGGUGUAAACCGCUUUCGCCUGUGACCAAGCUUGAUUGACGGUAAUGGGUGAAGAAGCACCGGCUAACUACGUG